RNAcentral lists this ribosomal RNA (253 nucleotides) under uncultured bacterium. RNAcentral describes it as "partial 16S ribosomal RNA". It matches the Rfam family "Bacterial small subunit ribosomal RNA", at positions 524 to 776 of the family's 1533-position model. The record is from RNAcentral.
UACGGAGGGUGCGAGCGUUGUCCGGAUUUACUGGGCGUAAAGAGCGCGCAGGCGGUCGUUCAAGUCGAGUGUGAAAGCCCCCGGCUCAACUGGGGAGGGUCAUUCGAUACUGAUCGACUCGAAGGCAGGAGAGGGAAGCGGAAUUCCCGGUGUAGUGGUGAAAUGCGUAGAUAUCGGGAGGAACACCAGUGUCGAAGGCGGCUUCCUGGCCUGUUCUUGACGCUGAGGCACGAAAGCGUGGGGAGCGAACGGG